UUUCAAAUUCCUCCCUCCCCCAACCAAGAUCAAUUUUACAAAGAAAAACUUCCUAAUUCCAUUCCAUUCCAUUCCAUGAAACGAACGCUACCUUAGAGAAACGUGGUACUCUUUUGAAGGCCAAUUGAAUAAAUUUUGUUGUUGUUGAAUGAAAGUAAGAUCUUUGAACAAUUUCAUUUAUUUGUAGUUAUUCAUUUGAGGCUUAUUUGUUGCCACAAUAAUUCACAUUUAUUGCUUAAUUUGUUUUUGUGGAGAGACGACUAAAGACGAAGUCAAUCUGGCGAGCCUCCGGUGUCUCCUUUAGCACGUGACUUGUACCAAUCGAAGGCUUAAAACAUGGCGAACCCUAUGGCGGUGUUCGAUUCUCUAAUCGUGCGUCGGUAGUAGUUCUGUCAAGACUAAAGUGUGAAAAGCGUUAGGGCUUUUGGUAAAUGGAACAACAGUGAUAGUGUGAAAAGCGUUAGGUUCUUCGGAUGACUAUCAGAGAGGGCUGACAAGUAGAACAUGGUGUCGGAGACUCACAACCAAGUUGUAUGAUGGACUUUCCUUAUCACUAGGCCUAGGCAUCAUUUUCAGAGUCCGAGGAGCUUAACAUCUUGGUGCAGUCAGGCUCUAUGUGUUUGGAAAUUCAAUAAUUAAGAUGACGUUUGCUAAGUACCUCCCAGCAGUCGAUCUUACAGCUAACAUGAGAGAGCUUCUAACGGAGUUGUAAUUGUAACCGAAAAGAAGCUCCCAUCCAUUUUAGUCGAUGAGACAUCGGUGCAAAAGAUCCAGAUUUUGACUCCUAAUAUUGGAGUUGUUUACAGCUAUUUAAGAUGAAUUUGUCUUAGAGCUUUCGCUUGCACGUUUGAAGGCUUAUGCUGAAUUUGUCUUUGGUAUGGGUUUAUAUCAGGGUGUUCCGUCUACUCUUGCUUUCAUAGCCUUCGAACUCCCACCUAAUGGAGCUAUUGGCACUCGGAUUCUGGAGUUCCUAUUUCGCUCCAGAUCUGAUAUGAUUGCAGGUGAUCAAUCGCCAGAAGCAUUGAUGAGGCUAUAACAACUGGCACUACACUCUUGUUGUCAUCUUCUACAUUUGUUCUACAGGUAUAUUGCUCAUAUAUGUAUUACAAUAUAAAUGAAAGAGCUCAUGCAUUUCUUUAACGUGUUUGAAAAAUUUUGUAAUUUGAUUUACUGGAAUGAAAGUCCCCUUGUAACACUACCGUAAUAUCUUAAUCUUUCUUUUUUUGCUUGUUGUGUCCCGAUAGAAUUUGCUUAGGAAGUAGCUUAAUAAAAGUGCGUUUGGGUCAUGACCCAUUUAACUAAGAAUUAGACCCGAACCCAUUUUAAACAACUAAAAGUUAGCAUUUAAUUGUAGUUUGUUAGUAUUGUUGCUAUGUUAUUUGUGUUUGUAGUUUCGUUUAACACGUUUUAACAAGUUUAAAUUUAUUUAAUUUGUAUGAUUUUUUGGUUUAAAAACCUGGUAAUUUUUUAUUUUUAUUUUUUAUGUACCUAUAGGGAUGACAUAUGGUCUCUAUAGGUAAAAAUGUUUUAUUUUUUAUUUUUCUUAAACGUACACCUAUAGGGACGACAUGUCGUUCCUACAGGAUUUCCAGGUUUUUUAUUUUUUUUUUUUUUAAGUUUUUAGGGACGACAUGUUGUCCCAAUAAACAU
RNAcentral lists this long non-coding RNA (1650 nucleotides) under Helianthus annuus (common sunflower). Its description in RNAcentral is "hypothetical non coding rna". Lineage: Eukaryota; Viridiplantae; Streptophyta; Magnoliopsida; Asterales; Asteraceae. The record is from RNAcentral.